Papaver somniferum (opium poppy) is the source of this 1976-nucleotide long non-coding RNA. RefSeq lists it as uncharacterized. Lineage: Eukaryota; Viridiplantae; Streptophyta; Magnoliopsida; Ranunculales; Papaveraceae. The record is from RefSeq and is a predicted model, not a curated record. The transcript is spliced from 2 exons.
CAAACCCUUUUGUUUCCGUGCAAGUUGCUUCUCUCUUCUAGAACUAAAAUUUUAUUUCUUUUUUCUUUUUAUUGGAAUUUAGUAUUUUUUUAUUUGAUAUUUUAGUUGUUUUUACGGUAUACCCUCAAUGAUCCAAAUUUUGUUGCGAUAUCAAACACCUUAACUUUUUGUGUUUUGCGGAUCUUAUUAAUGAUACAUAAAUAUUGUUGCAAAAUUAAACGCCACAACUGUUUUUUUUUUUCUGCUGGGCUUAUUGAUGCAUAAAACGAUUGUUGCUUCACCCAUUUUCUAAAGGUUUGUUCAAUUUUAUUAUUUACCUUGCUCGUAUGAUUGUUUCUUAUUUUCUCUUUUAAUAUGUUUUGUUAUUGGUUACUAAUUAACUUUAUGAAUUUUUAAUGGUGAUUACGUAAAUCGGCUUUCCUACGUGCAUAUAUCUGUUUUUUGAUUUAAUUUUUGUUGUAUUCAAUUGGCAUUGAUGAUGGUUGCGGCAAUGUGAUUGCAUGAGCGCUGAUAUGAAGAAAUUCUUAAAAAGAUGAUUUCACUUCUACAAAGGAUGAUGCCAAGAUAUCUUCGAUUUCAUGUUGCUUUUUUUUUGUGCUAGAGUUUUGCGGUUUUCUUCCCCUAUAUUAAUCAGGAAUGUUUUUCACUGUUUGUAAAUCUCUGAUAUCUAUUUGUUUCAAGUUUUCUCCUAGCCCUAAUUUUUCAUAUUAGUUUUUUAUCUGAUUUUCAUUAGUAUAUUGAAACGCUUCAUUGAUCUAUUUUGCAGGAAACUGUUCUCAAUUAUGUUGUUAUGUCUUUUUGGUUUCAUAUCUUCUCAAUACCAGGUGAGGGUUUCUCAACAUCAACAGGUUUAGGUAAUGUAGGUACUACUCUGUCCUUUAAGCUUCAUGUGAAUGUAUUAUUUGAGUGAUUGAUUCGUGAAAUACAAAAUUCAUACUAAUGAUGCUCAAUCAUUGUAAUAUAACAUCACGGGAAAGAAAAAAUCCCAACAUUGAUAUUCAGAAUUUAGAGUUAUAUGUAAUGCAAAAGUGAAGUUGAAAAAUAUGGAUUAUAAAAAUGGUAUCUAAAUUAAGGAAGUUUGAAAUUGAUAAUUAUAGUUAUAUUGUAUCUAAAUUCUUAUGGCCAUACUUUUUGUAAACAAAAAUCAUAUAUUUUGUCUAUAUUUUGGAUUGAUUUUCUUUUUCUUUCGGUAGCUUAUUUAACCAUGAAUAUACACGCAUUUUGAAGUGCGACAUUUUUUAUGUUGUCGAACAAGAUGUAAUCUUUCUCAUCAAUUCAUUUUGUUAGGCUCCGAUGAAGGAAAGAAACUCGGGUCUAAAUUCAUGUUUGAGUUGAAAGGGAAGUGUUAUACUUUGUGUGGAUUGUUAAGGUUUUAUUUGUAUCCUUUUUAUAGGUAUUGACAUUUUUCUAUUUAUAUUAUUCGUUUACUGUUUUUGCUUUAUUUUGGCUUUUGUUAUUGAAUUUAGUGGCUUUUAUUGUGUAGAAAAACCCAUUUCCCUGAGAAGGCCGAUAGGACAUAUUAAAAUUGACGAACAUCUGUAGACAACAAGAGAGCUCACUCGUUGAACUUUCAUUUUUUUGUUGGUAUUCCACACCAAAAAAAAAAUCCACUUUCCAAAAUAAGUUUAACCAUCCACAUAUUUUGUGUAUAAAAAUUCAAAAUGAGGUCCAUAUAGGAUUUUUCUAGAUAUUCAAUUAAUGCAUGCUAAUUAAUUUCUCAAAGAAAAUGUACUAAUUUUAAUUUAUGUAAUCUGAUGGCCUUCAUAUUUACUUUUAUUUCUUUUGCUUUGCAGCAGUUUAGGUCUUAUCACAAGAUUUCGUUUUCGCGCGCUAAACAAGUGAAAGGUGCAUAUGUAAUUACAAAAAUCGCAUUGUGAUUUAACACUAGAUUAAUUUUCUAAAGUAAGGACGAUUACAACUUGCUUGAUCAUUAAUUAAAGGAUCUAUGUUGUUUGCAAUUUUGAAGCUCUACACUA